UUUCGCAAUGCCCGAAAGGGUGACGAAGCGACGCCGCGUGUGGGAAGAAGGCCUUCGGGUUGUAAACCACUGUCGGGAGUUAGGAAAUGUAAGGGUGCUAAUAGUAUCCUUGCUUGACUAAGGCUCCGGAGGAAGCCACGGCUAACUCUGUGCCAGCAGCCGCGGUAAUACAGAGGCGGCAAGCGUUGUUCGGAAUUAUUGGGCGUAAAGAGCACGUAGGCGGCCUUGUAAGUCAGUUGUGAAAGCCUUCUGCUUAACGGAAGAACAGCAGCUGAUACUGCAAGGCUAGAGUGCGGAAGGGGAGAGUGGAACUUCUGGUGGAGCGGUGAAAUGCGUAGAUAUCAGAAGGAACACCGGCGGCGAAGGCGACUCUCUGGUCCGUAACUGACGCUGAGUGUGCGAAAGCUAGGGGAGCAAACGGGAUUAGAUACCCCGGUAGUCCUAGCCGUAAACGAUGGGCACUAAGUAGAGGGGUUUUA
Molecule: ribosomal RNA, 479 nt
Filed under: uncultured bacterium
Lineage: Bacteria
Also listed under: 1 other name
Description: bacterial SSU rRNA
Rfam family: Bacterial small subunit ribosomal RNA
Source: RNAcentral